GAGUUUGAUCGUGGCUCAGAUUGAACGCUGGCGGCAUGCCUUACACAUGCAAGUCGAACGGUAACAGGUCUUCGGAUGCUGACGAGUGGCGAACGGGUGAGUAAUACAUCGGAACGUGCCCGAUCGUGGGGGGAUAACGAAGCGAAAGCUUUGCUAAUACCGCAUAAGAUCUACGGAUGAAAGCAGGGGACCGCAAGGCCUUGCGCGAACGGAGCGGCCGAUGGCAGAUUAGGUAGUUGGUGGGAUAAAAGCUUACCAAGCCGACGAUCUGUAGCUGGUCUGAGAGGACGACCAGCCACACUGGGACUGAGACACGGCCCAGACUCCUACGGGAGGCAGCAGUGGGGAAUUUUGGACAAUGGGCGAAAGCCUGAUCCAGCCAUGCCGCGUGCAGGAUGAAGGCCUUCGGUU
Molecule: ribosomal RNA, 411 nt
Filed under: uncultured microorganism
Description: bacterial SSU rRNA
Rfam family: Bacterial small subunit ribosomal RNA
Source: RNAcentral